This 677-nucleotide ribosomal RNA is filed under the name Filobasidium uniguttulatum. Its description in RNAcentral is "LSU rRNA". It matches the Rfam family "Eukaryotic large subunit ribosomal RNA", at positions 74 to 740 of the family's 3401-position model. The record is from RNAcentral. Lineage: Eukaryota; Fungi; Basidiomycota; Tremellomycetes; Filobasidiales; Filobasidiaceae.
AUUCCCCUAGUAACGGCGAGCGAAGCGGGAAGAGCUCAAAUUUGAAAUCUGGUGGCCUCAGGUCAUCCGAGUUGUAAUCUAUAGAAGUGUUUUCCGUGCUGGCCCAUGUACAAGUCCCUUGGAACAGGGCGUCAUAGAGGGUGAGAAUCCCGUCCUUGACAUGGACUACCAGUGCUCUGUGAUACACUUUCAACGAGUCGAGUUGUUUGGGAAUGCAGCUCAAAAUGGGUGGUAAAUUCCAUCUAAAGCUAAAUAUUGGCGAGAGACCGAUAGCGAACAAGUACCGUGAGGGAAAGAUGAAAAGCACUUUGGAAAGAGAGUUAAACAGUAUGUGAAAUUGUUGAAAGGGAAACGAUUGAAGUCAGUCGUGCUCAAUGGACUCAGCCGUUCUGCGGUGUAUUUCCAUUGGGUGGGGUCAACAUCAGUUUUGAUCGCUGGAUAAAGGCAGGAGGAAUGUAGCACCCCCGGGUGAACUUAUAGCCUCUUGUCACAUACAGUGGUUGGGACUGAGGAACGCAGCAUGCCUUUAUGGCCGGGAUUCGUCCACGUACAUGCUUAGGAUGUUGACAUAAUGGCUUUAAACGACCCGUCUUGAAACACGGACCAAGGAGUCUAACAUAUCUGCGAGUAUUUGGGUGUUAAACCCAAGUGCGCAAUGAAAGUGAAUGUAGGAGGGA